This 263-nucleotide long non-coding RNA is filed under the name Arabidopsis lyrata. RNAcentral's name for it is "long non-coding RNA (ALYR_LNC002008)". Lineage: Eukaryota; Viridiplantae; Streptophyta; Magnoliopsida; Brassicales; Brassicaceae. The record is from RNAcentral.
CUGGAGGCCUUCUGAUGCUGUUGAGUGUAUGGAGGAUGUGUUGGGUACAACUGUAGCUUGGCCUAGAGACAAAAUGGUGCUAAUCUAAACUUUCAGUAAGAGGUCUACUGCCUUAGAUUCUGUUGCAUAUGAUUCAAAACUUUUGGUGUGAUUUGAUACUUAAACACAUGGAUCAAUGUAAUGUUUGGUACUUGUAAGUUUUUGGAUAAUAUGAUGAUGAUAUGUUAUUGACUUCUUUUUUAUAAAUAUAAAAUUUUAAAUAG